This is a long non-coding RNA of Chelonoidis abingdonii (Abingdon island giant tortoise), 179 nucleotides long. RefSeq lists it as uncharacterized. The record is from RefSeq and is a predicted model, not a curated record. NCBI's taxonomy places the organism in Eukaryota, Metazoa, Chordata, Testudines, Testudinidae.
GUUCUUCUGCUCUGGGUCUGUAACGCAUAUCCUACAGGUUGAGAUGAACCAGAGCUGGGCCUGCAAUGACAGCAGGAUUGGCAACAUACUGCUUGGAGGGAAGAUAGUAUGUGUGUGCCCAAAACAACAUCCCAAUAAUAGGUGUUGCCAUUGACUACAGUGGGGCCAGUAUUUGAUCC